GGCAGACGGGUGAGUAACAUGUAGGUAUCUACCCUUUGGCCUGGAAUAACACGAGGAAACUUGUGCUAAUACCGGAUAAGUCUUUACGGAGAAAGCUUUAUGCACCAUUGGAUGAGCCUGCACUUGAUUAGUUUGUUGGUGGGGUAAUGGCCUACCAAGACUGUGAUCAAUAGCUGAUUUGAGAGGAUGAUCAGCCACAUUGGGACUGAGACACGGCCCAAACUCCUACGGGAGGCAGCAGUGGGGAAUCUUGCACAAUGGAGGAAACUCUGAUGCAGCGAUGCCGCGUGAGUGAAGAAGGCCUUUGGGUUGUAAAGCUCUUUCGUCGGGGAAGAAAAUGACUGUACCCGAAUAAGAAGGUCCGGCUAACUUCGUGCCAGCAGCCGCGGUAAUACGAAGGGACCUAGCGUAGUUCGGAAUUACUGGGCUUAAAGAGUUCGUAGGUGGUUGAAAAAGUUGGUGGUGAAAUCCCAGAGCUUAACUCUGGAACUGCCAUCAAAACUUUUCAGCUAGAGUAUGAUAGAGGAAAGCAGAAUUUCUAGUGUAGAGGUGAAAUUCGUAGAUAUUAGAAAGAAUACCAAUUGCGAAGGCAGCUUUCUGGAUCAUUACUGACACUGAGGAACGAAAGCAUGGGUAGCGAAGAGGAUUAGAUACCCUCGUAGUCCAUGCCGUAAACGAUGUGUGUUAGACGUUGGAAAUUUAUUUUCAGUGUCGCAGCGAAAGCGAUAAACACACCGCCUGGGGAGUACGACCGCAAGGUUAAAACUCAAAUGAAUUGACGGGGACCCGCACAAGUAGUGGAGCAUGUGGUUUAAUUCGAAGAUACGCGCAGAACCUUACCAACACUUGACAUGUUCGUCGCGACUUUAAGAGAUUAGAGUUUUCGGUUCGGCCGGACGAAACACAGGUGCUGCAUGGCUGUCGUCAGCUCGUGUCGUGAGAUGUUGGGUUAAGUCCCGCAACGAGCGCAACCCUCACUUUUAGUUGCCAUCAUUAAGUUGGGCACUCUGAAAGAACUGCCAGUGAUAAGCUGGAGGAAGGUGGGGAUGACGUCAAGUCCUCAUGGCCCUUACGUGUUGGGCUACACACGUGCUACAAUGGUAUCUACAACAGGAAGCAAGACUGCAAGGUCAAGCAAAUCCUUAAAAGAUACCUCAGUUCGGAUUGCACUCUGCAACUCGAGUGCAUGAAGCUGGAAUUACUAGUAAUCGUGGAUCAGCGUGCCACGGUGAAUGCGUUCCCGGGUCUUGUACACACCGCCCGUCACACCAUGGGAGUUGGUUCUACCUUAA
RNAcentral lists this ribosomal RNA (1292 nucleotides) under uncultured bacterium. Its description in RNAcentral is "bacterial SSU rRNA". It matches the Rfam family "Bacterial small subunit ribosomal RNA", at positions 97 to 1425 of the family's 1533-position model. The record is from RNAcentral.